AAAAAGAGCAUCCUUUACGUCAACUGUCAUUUUAAUGACAUUGACAGGACAGUAUCCACUCAUUCAUUCGCUGAUUUUGCUCGCUCAUUCAAUCAAUCAUUCAUUCACUCAAUUCUUUUCGAAAUUCCGAGAAAAAAAUCUUGAUUCCGAAAUAUUCGGAAAUAAAAGCAAACAAAUAAUGGUCAUUUUACCGUAUUUACAUUGUUUACCGUAUAAACAAGAUGGUUUCUUAUUAUCACCAAAUGCAUCGUGACUGGUUGCUCGUCCACCAAGUCCAGGGUUUUUUCUCUAGCACGUGAUGAAGCAUUGCAGGCUCUAAGGAUACAGUACCUCCUGCCUGCAAAUCCUUUAUCAGGAACUAUGACAAAGGAGCAACUUCGUCAAAGAAAGGUCUGCCAAUCACAUUUUGAGGAUAAAUAAAUCUAAAACAAUCCAUUGGUUAUGACAAUGAUGAAUGGAUGUCCUAUUUUUUAUUUAUCCAUGAAGAAAAUAAUAACAUCUCGGCGACCAUCCAAGCUGUUGCUGAUCAGGUCAUCCAGUAAGUUAAACUGCUAAUAGAGAUAACUUCAAUUCAAUGUUGUUGCCAGAUAAUGCUGUGAGUGAAGGUAUGUUCAACUCAGUUGUAAAUAAUACCUAAGUACUUUUAAAUUGAUGAGUCACCUACGAUAUUCUUUAAACAUAAUUUAUAAUUUCAAUACGUAAUUUAAACUGAUUUUUCGUGAUAGUAAUUUUUCUUUUGUAAUGUUUUGUAAGCAAUACCUAUAUUAAUUCUGCAAAGAAAACUCUUUCUUGAGUUAUUUAAAUUAUAUUGUUUUGUAUGAUAAUUAAUUGUACAUUAAGUUUUACAGGAUUUUGCCAAUAUAUUUAUAUUUAGUAGAGGUUGCAGUAUUCUAUCUUAUAAAACUAUCUUUUUAAAUUAAUUUUACAUAGUUAUAACACAGGUUAUACCAUCAUACUUAAUUAAUUUUAUAGGUUUAUUUUAUGCUAAUUUUUUAAUUGUGUAAUAAAUUUUAAUUAUGUUUUAUUAAAUAUUUCAGAAACUAUAUCCUGCCAUCUACAUCACAGCCACAUCUGUCAUUAUGGAUAAUAUUAUUGCUGCGUCCUAAGGUUCAGCUUGCAAAUAAACCCAUCAAGCAGAGGCGGUACACACAAACAAAAGGUGGACUCUUUGGUUUUUUUAAAACGGAGCCCGAAAGCGUAUGAGCUAUUGCGCCACAUAUUUAUUUUGCCUGGUCAACGAUCAAGAAAAUGAAGGUAUUGAGUGAAAAAACUGCCGCAAUGAUACAGCCCCAAAUUCUGUAGGUUUGACAAACGCUCAAUAAUAUCAUUUAAAUGUAAAUUAUGUACAGACGAGUUCAUAAAUAUAAGUGCAGUGCCAAUUUAAAAAAAUAUUGUAAGCGUUUUAACGAUCAUACAAAUCUAAAACAAAUUCAGACAAAUGUAAUCAUAAGCUGUUCAUAAAUAUGUUGCGGUAACGCAGUAUUGACUACGCUACUGCUCUAUAAUCUGUUGAUAAUGUGCAUGUGCAUAUACCUUAAGUUGUAAAGGCAUUAAAGGUUUAUUUUCGUGCGCCAUAAUGACUGUGAUUUCAUGGAUAAGUCCACGCAUGCUGUUUUUGAUAAUAUUAAAUUAUGAAAUAAAUAAAAAAAAUCUGCUCUUUACGUAAAUCGAUUAACUUACUAAUAAUUCUGAGUCGCUCAUAAAAAAUGGCAACACCUUAAAGAGUCACCCAGUAUGUAGUAGUAUUAUCCUUAAUAAUAUUGUAAAUGUUACACCAAAUUGAAUCUGGUUUAACCCUUAAAUGCAUAGUGUUGCCAUAUGUCUACGAACUACUUUUUUAAUUAUAAAAAGUAACACAUUUUAUAAGCGUUUCUGAACGUAUGCUAAUAUCAUAGAAAACAUCAUAAUAAAAAUAAAAAAAACGCAAAUGAAGGUAGAUUUGAAAAAAAAUUAACCGAUAUUUGACGUAGCGAUUGCGAAAGAGAA
Ostrinia nubilalis (European corn borer) is the source of this 1986-nucleotide long non-coding RNA. RefSeq lists it as uncharacterized. The record is from RefSeq and is a predicted model, not a curated record. The transcript is spliced from 4 exons. NCBI's taxonomy places the organism in Eukaryota, Metazoa, Arthropoda, Insecta, Lepidoptera, Crambidae.